AACACAUUUUAAAUGAAGUCCUGUGAGGCUUCGAAGGGUGUAAGCAGCGGUUUGUAACAGGUGAAGUAUAGCUUCACCUCGUUUUCAAGCACCCUUCUACUUAAUGAAGGGUGCUUUUUUGCU
This is a regulatory RNA element of Bacillus solimangrovi, 123 nucleotides long. It matches the Rfam family "PyrR binding site". From Rfam's summary of the family: This family represents the PyrR binding site and terminator structure. This RNA structure is found upstream of a variety of genes involved in pyrimidine biosynthesis and transport. The alignment also includes a portion of the antiterminator structure. Lineage: Bacteria; Bacillati; Bacillota; Bacilli; Caryophanales; Bacillaceae. The record is from Rfam.